This 279-nucleotide ribosomal RNA is filed under the name uncultured Staphylococcus sp. RNAcentral's name for it is "partial 16S ribosomal RNA". It matches the Rfam family "Bacterial small subunit ribosomal RNA", at positions 83 to 355 of the family's 1533-position model. Lineage: Bacteria; Bacillati; Bacillota; Bacilli; Caryophanales; Staphylococcaceae. The record is from RNAcentral.
CCUUUGACGUUAGCGGCGGACGGGUGAGUAACACGUGGGUAACCUACCUAUAAGACUGGGAUAACUUCGGGAAACCGGAGCUAAUACCGGAUAAUAUUUCGAACCGCAUGGUUCGAUAGUGAAAGAUGGUUUUGCUAUCACUUAUAGAUGGACCCGCGCCGUAUUAGCUAGUUGGUAAGGUAGCGGCUUACCAAGGCGACGAUACGUAGCCGACCUGAGAGGGUGAUCGGCCACACUGGAACUGAGACACGGUCCAGACUCCUACGGGAGGCAGCAGUU